RNAcentral lists this ribosomal RNA (378 nucleotides) under Triticum aestivum (bread wheat). RNAcentral describes it as "partial small subunit ribosomal RNA". The record is from RNAcentral. Lineage: Eukaryota; Viridiplantae; Streptophyta; Magnoliopsida; Poales; Poaceae.
AUGCCACCGUGCCGCACACUAACCGGUAAGGAAGCGAUGGCAUCCUGCCGCGACAAGUUCCUCGCCGCCCAGGACCGCACACAAAAUGGUAGGGAAGCGAUGGCAUCCCACCGUGCUGAGUUCAUCGCCGCUCGCGACCUCACACCUAGGUGGGCGGACUUUGAAGCUGCCAAGGCCGAAUGGGUGGUAGAGCAAGAGGCGGCCAAAGCCACACAGUGGGAGCGGAAAAGGCAGAAAGCACUCAAGAAAAGAGAGGCCCGCCGCCGCAAGAAAAAAGAGGACGCGCGCGCUACUGCGGAGAGCUCGGCGAAGAUCCAAGCACGAUGGGUGUCGCCGACAAAGCCGGGAGGAGAACGACGACGUCUGGCCAACAUGUGA